This 405-nucleotide ribosomal RNA is filed under the name uncultured bacterium. Its description in RNAcentral is "partial 16S ribosomal RNA". It matches the Rfam family "Bacterial small subunit ribosomal RNA", at positions 30 to 526 of the family's 1533-position model. The record is from RNAcentral.
AUUGAACGCUGGCGGCAGGCUUAACACAUGCAAGUCGAACGAGUGGCGGACGGGUGAGUAAUGCUUGGGAAUCUGGCUUAUGGAGGGGGAUAACGACGGGAAACUGUCGCUAAUACCGCGUAUCAUAGGAGGAGCCCAUGUGGGAUUAGGUAGUUGGUGGGGUAAUGGCCUACCAAGCCGAAGAUAUCUAGCUGGUCUGAGAGGAUGACCGGCCACCUCGGGACUGAGCCACGGCCCGGACGCCGACGGGAGGCAGCAGUGGGGAAGAUUGCGCAAUGGGCGAAACCUGACGCAGCCAUGCCGCGUGAAUGAAGAAGGCCUUCGGGUUGUAAAGUUCUUUCGGUAGCGAGGCGUUAAUCACAGAAGAAGCACCGGCUAACUCCGUGCCAGCCGCCGCGGUAAUAC